GGAUAUACCACAAGUGUAAAAAAUUAUGUUUUAUAAAAAUAUACACUUAGUAUUGCCUUUCUCUUUUAGCAGUUGAAUCUCAAACCAGUUGUAGUAAACUGGAUAAAAAAUGAAGGAGUUGCCUUAAGCACUUUAGAAAAAAGAAUUUUUUUACAUUUCAUUUUGACUCUUUGGACUGACUGUCACAUACAUCUUUAACUUUUCGUAAAUAUGUACAUACCAAAUAUUUACUAAGUGCACAUAGAAAUUUAAUAUACAGUAAUUCUUUGAAUGUUCCAGGUGUAGGUAGACAAUUUGAAAGUAUUAAAGGUGUGCCUGUCUGUACAGGGGUUUAACU
Molecule: long non-coding RNA, 337 nt
Filed under: Bos taurus (domestic cattle)
Lineage: Eukaryota; Metazoa; Chordata; Mammalia; Artiodactyla; Bovidae
Description: long non-coding RNA NONBTAT024869
Source: RNAcentral